GUGCUGAUAUUUUUAGCACUUUUACCUAUGUAGGAAUGAUAAGAGGACAAUUUGUAAAGGUCCCAUUUAAACACAGCAUAAAGUUAUCCAAGAGCUCACAAGUGAAGAAAGUGUAUUUGUCAGAGGAAAGUCAUAGUACUUAACUAAACAAAGUCUACCUGUCCAGGUUUGAUGCGACACCAGGAUCAAGAAUCGAACUUGGGACCUUUCCGUCACAAAGGUAAUGCUGGAACCACUGAUCCCAGUCCCCAGUAGAGCAAUCAAUACUCUGACACCCAAUACAAGCCUCAUGUACUAAACCAGCUUAAACAACAAGCAAGGACCCAUUUUUAUCAAUUUUGAUUAAAUUGUGGAGUAACUGACAUAUCUGCAAUAUGGUACAGAAGUGAUUCGGAAGAAAAUGAACCAAUAUCAACUGAUCAGGUUUUCAUCAAUCAAAAACCAUUUUUUGAUAUUAUCAUGUAGAUGGUUUUUUUUAUAACUGUCAUAUUCAUAUCUACUUCUUUUGUAUUAAUGAAAUAUUAAAUGAAACAGACUACAA
Long non-coding RNA from Ostrea edulis (European flat oyster), 541 nucleotides. RefSeq lists it as uncharacterized. The record is from RefSeq and is a predicted model, not a curated record. NCBI's taxonomy places the organism in Eukaryota, Metazoa, Mollusca, Bivalvia, Ostreida, Ostreidae. The transcript has 3 exons.